GACGAAGGGGGCUAGCGUUGUUCGGAAUUACUGGGCGUAAAGCGCGUGUAGGCGGUUAUCCAAGUCGGAUGUGAAAGCCUUGAGCUCAACUCAAGAAAUGCAUUCGGUACUGGGUGACUAGAGGACCGGAGAGGAUAGUGGAAUUCCCAGUGUAGUGGUGAAAUACGUAGAGAUUGGGAAGAACACCAGUGGCGAAGGCGGCUAUCUGGACGGUUUCUGACGCUAAGACGCGAAAGCGUGGGGAGCAGACAGG
This 253-nucleotide ribosomal RNA is filed under the name uncultured bacterium. Its description in RNAcentral is "partial 16S ribosomal RNA". It matches the Rfam family "Bacterial small subunit ribosomal RNA", at positions 524 to 776 of the family's 1533-position model. The record is from RNAcentral.